GAUGAACGCUGGCGGCGUGCCUAAUACAUGCAAGUCGAGCGAACAGACGAGGAGCUUGCUCCUCUGACGUUAGCGGCGGACGGGAGAGUAACACGUGGAUAACCUACCUAUAAGACUGGGAUAACUUCGGGAAACCGGAGCUAAUACCGGAUAAUAUAUUGAACCGCAUGGUUCAAUAGUGAAAGACGGUUUUGCUGUAACUUAUAGAUGGAUCCGCGCCGCAUUAGCGAGUUGGUAAGGUAACGGCUUACCAAGGCAACGAUGCGUAGCCGACCUGAGAGGGUGAUGGGCCACACUGGAACUGAGACACCGUCCAGACUCCUACGGGAGGCAGCAGUAGGGAAUCUUCCGCAAUGGGGGAAAGCUUGACGGAGCAACGCCGCGUGAGUGAUGAAGGUCUUCGGAUCGUAAAACUCUGUUAUUAGUGAAGAACAAAUGUGUAAGUAACUAUGCACGUCUUGACGGUACCUGAUCAGAAAGCCACGGCUAACUACGUG
Molecule: ribosomal RNA, 497 nt
Filed under: uncultured bacterium
Lineage: Bacteria
Description: partial 16S ribosomal RNA
Rfam family: Bacterial small subunit ribosomal RNA
Source: RNAcentral